This 228-nucleotide unclassified non-coding RNA is filed under the name Zasmidium eucalyptorum. RNAcentral describes it as "partial contains 5.8S ribosomal RNA, internal transcribed spacer 2, and large subunit ribosomal RNA". The record is from RNAcentral. Lineage: Eukaryota; Fungi; Ascomycota; Dothideomycetes; Mycosphaerellales; Mycosphaerellaceae.
CGCAUAUUGCGCCCCCUGGUAUUCCGGAGGGCAUGUCUGUUCGAGCGUCAUUACACCAAUCAAGCCCGGCUUGCGGUUGGGGUUUCCGUUCGCGGCUUCCCCAAAAGACAGCAGCGGCGCCUGGAGGACCGUGAUGCAGCGAGCUUUUAGCACGCGUUGCGGCGCCCCUGGGCCCGUCCCAACUCCUAGGUUGACCUCGGAUCAGACAGGAUUACCCGCUGAACUUAA